This is a long non-coding RNA of Lepus europaeus (European hare), 392 nucleotides long. RefSeq lists it as uncharacterized. The record is from RefSeq and is a predicted model, not a curated record. The transcript has 3 exons. NCBI's taxonomy places the organism in Eukaryota, Metazoa, Chordata, Mammalia, Lagomorpha, Leporidae.
CGCUGAGUCAUGAAGAAAGCCUGCGUGGAAACGCGGCCUUCGGCAGAGAGGGCCGGAGCGGGCCGCAGACCGGUGCAGUGUCUGGUGCCAGGCAUGCCAGGCCUCCACUGUUGUGCCAAGGGUCAGGGACCCUGUGGAGGACUAGAUUUGGGACUGGUGUUGGAAGGACCUGUCCCACUACGAUGGACUUCUGCUUUUGCUUAGAAGUGCCAGCAUCCCAGGCGGGCAUCGGUUCGAGACCCAGCUGCUCCACUUCCGGUCCAGCUCUCAUGGCCCAAGUCAUUGGGCCCCUGCACCCACGUGGGAGACCCAGAAGAUAAUCCUGGCUCCUGGCCUCAGAUCGGCACAGCUCCUGCCAUUGCAGCCAAUUGGGGAGUGAACCAGCAGACAGA